This 93-nucleotide transfer RNA is filed under the name Nakamurella endophytica. RNAcentral's name for it is "tRNA-Thr". The record is from RNAcentral. Lineage: Bacteria; Bacillati; Actinomycetota; Actinomycetes; Nakamurellales; Nakamurellaceae.
CGAGAUCAUGGUCAACGGCCCGGACACCGUCUUCGUCGAGCGGAACGGGCGGCUGGUCCGCACCUCGGCGCGGUUCGCGUCCGAGGACCACGU